AGUGAACGCUGGCGGUAGGCCUAACACAUGCCAGUCGAACGGCAGCACAGUAAGAGCUUGCUCUUACGGGUGGCGAGUGGCGGACGGGUGAGGAAUACAUCGGAAUCUACUUUUUCGUGGGGGAUAACGUAGGGAAACUUACGCUAAUACCGCAUACGACCUACGGGUGAAAGAAGGGGAUCUUCGGACCUUGCGCGAUUGAAUGAGCCGAUGUCGGAUUAGCUAGUUGGCGGGGUAAAGGCCCACCAAGGCGACGAUCCGUAGCUGGUCUGAGAGGAUGAUCAGCCACACUGGAACUGAGACACGGUCCAGACUCCUACGGGAGGCAGCAGUGGGGAAUAUUGGACAAUGGGCGCAAGCCUGAUCCAGCCAUACCGCGUGGGUGAAGAAGGCCUUCGGGUUGUAAAGCCCUUUUGUUGGGAAAGAAAAGCAGCAGGUUAAUACCCCGCUGUUCUGACGGUACCCAAAGAAUAAGCACCGGCUAACUUCGUG
This 492-nucleotide ribosomal RNA is filed under the name uncultured bacterium. Its description in RNAcentral is "partial 16S ribosomal RNA". It matches the Rfam family "Bacterial small subunit ribosomal RNA", at positions 29 to 507 of the family's 1533-position model. The record is from RNAcentral.